AGACUGAGAGAAAGGGGGAGAGAGCGAGAGAGAGAGAAAUGGAGAGUGAACACAACUCAGCCCAAAGUGCCUUGAAAAAAAUGAAGAAGGGGAAAAAAAAACAAUUCAGAUGACUGAUUGACACAGCACCCAAUUCAUCACAAUGAGAGAUGGUGGAAAGUAUCUGACAACCAAAAACCACAGUUGGAAGGCGCUCCGAGACCCUCAAGGCCUAGAUGUGGAUGAACUGUAGUGAACUGAGUGGCAGCUAAGGACAAGAGCCCAAUGUUAAAGUGCAAACUGUGUUCAAGAUCUGCAUUCUACUGCCAGCACAUCAGUUGAUGCAAGCAUCUGCGCAGACAGCAUGCUAACACCAAGCUAGCGAAGAACCCAGAGUGAGGCUGAGUGUAUGGUGACCCCAGUCCAGUCCAGCGAUUUUAUACCUUUACUUUGUGUUUUCAGCUUUGUGUUCCAACAUAAACACUAAAAGAACGUGUUUGUGUGUUUGUCCUCUUUCUGGCAGUGUAAGGUUUAUAAGUGGUAGUUCCGUGACAAUGCAUUUCAGGACAUGUUAAGGAGUAAUACAAAAACAGUAUGUCAAGUAUUGCAGUGGGUUACUUUUUCUUUUUCUUUUCUGAAGUUCAGUAAUGUAAUGCAUUACAUGUAUUAUUAAUGUAGAAUAAAUAAUGUGUUUAAUAGAUUAGUUUUUUAAAGUAAGGGCCCCAACACUGGUAGUGACAUGCUUAA
Oreochromis aureus is the source of this 726-nucleotide long non-coding RNA. RefSeq lists it as uncharacterized. Lineage: Eukaryota; Metazoa; Chordata; Actinopteri; Cichliformes; Cichlidae. The record is from RefSeq and is a predicted model, not a curated record. The transcript has 3 exons.